ACUGCCUUGAAGUCUGCAACAGUGGAAGAACCAAGAUUUUCAUCUUACUGGGAUUUUUCUUCUAAAUCAGGGCAAACUGAUUUCUUUUACGGGCAGGGAAGAGAAGAAUGGAAAUAAUGGGAAAACCUGAGAAACCCCAAGUUUUCAGGUUUUCAUUCCCCCACUGACAUGAUGAUAAUCAGAAAUUUAUGUUAGAAAAUUCAUUUUUUCCACCUUACCUUCUACUGCAACCCAGGAGUCAAUUUAGUACUAAGAGCUUUGGAAGCUGCCUCGGCUGAGGUUUUAACUUGACAAGCUCACACGUGGAGGCCCAGGGCUUGAAAGCUGAGGAACCCGUGCACCAGCAACCAGUGUCACCAGUGGGAGAGCAGCUCCUCCCUGGUUCAGAGGGGCUCUCUGCGUUCAGAGUCCUCCUCUGCCUAGGGGUCCAACUGCACCUGCUGCAGGUGGAGUGAGAGCUGACCAGGCUGGCAGGGCUCAGACCUUGUUUCCUAAGUCCUGGUUACAUUUUGGAUUAUUUCUAUUAAAGAAAGAGACAUAAGCGGGAGCUGAGUUGGAGCCAGUAGCUCCAGUAGCAUGGGCAAGCAAAACACACACAAUGUAUCUGCCUGGGAAAAAAACCUACCCAGUUAGAUACUGCAGCUUGCAAAGUCUGUGGCAGUGAUGUGUCCUCUUGCACUGUAAUUUCAGCCUGUCCCAGAAGCGAUACCGAGCAUGCAAAACUAGACUGUACAAAUAAAAUGGAAAUGGGAAGCAGCCACCAAUAUAAAAUAAACAAGGAAAUGAAUCUGCCUGAAUUCUGUUUGCGUUGUAAAAGAUAAAAGAGAGAGUGUGGCCAGGUUUUCUCUCCCCUUCCUUGUCAAAGCUAAGUCCUUCAUUUCACACCAGUACACACCGACAUGCCAGGAACAGAAUGAAGCAGUCGGAGCACCUGAUCUGCAAAGCCACUUCGCUAUAAACUGCUCUCAGCAGGGCUGGGCAAGACUAUUAGAAACAACUAUAAAAUGGCAAGGAAUUAUGUUCCUUGCUUGCACAGGUUAACAAGCAGAAAGUAAAAAUGAAGCAACAGCUCCAAGGGUGUAACAAAGCAAUACGUAGCAAAGCCUUGCUUCUGUUGCGCUGAACUACGCCAAAGAAAACACCCUUGUACUCGCACACUGGGAAACAAGAGGCAGAGCAGCCCCACCAGCCAGCACUCCCUUACCAUCAUAGAAUCUGUUUCAAGAGCCACCAGAAAUGAAGAGCUCUGGCUUUGUAAAGACAGUUACAUGUCUGUAUAUGUGAGAGCACAUGAUGUUUCAACAUCACUACGUAACUAGCAGGUAAAUGUGUUUUUCUCUUAAAAUUCUUGUCUCUGUUCUGCUUGCUGCUUGUAUCUGACAAACAACAAUUUGAUUGUAGAUGCUCAGUCUGUUCAAGGACUGCCACACCUUACAGGUUUUUCAUCUUUUUUUCCAGGUCACUUCUGCAUGUGCUGAACAGUAUAGACCACCAACACAAAUACUUGUGACUUCUGGUCAUUCUGCUUUGUUCUGUUUUCCGGCUUUAGCUGCAGCAAAUCCAUUCUUUGUAUCCUACUGUAGCUUAGUUUCUUUUAAGACCACUGGUACAGGACCUUAACAAAUGGAAAUCUGGGAAAUCGAAGUAGACUACAUGGACCAAACCUGCAAGGUUGUAAGGUAUGAAGGGAGAAGUUGCAGCGGUCACCAAGUCCCUGGUACCAUUAGAGAUGACAAUGGGAAGACAUUCCAGGAUGCAGUCAUGACCCAUCAGACACUGCUAUUCAGCAAAACCAGUCAACACAACACGAACGCAAAAUCUCUAAGGGGAAAUCAAGGAAAUCAGCAGAACACCAGUCAGCAGCACAGCCUUGAGAUGAAGGCCAACCACACACUGGGCUGCAACAGCAAGAACUGAGCCAGCAGAAGUCAUCGUCCCCCUUUAUUUAUGCCCUGCCCCAUCCCCAGGCCACACUGAGGAGCUGGCGGGAGUCCAGCAGCGUGUGCAGCUUGUGGCAUCUCCACUCCUGGAGGUGUUAAAAGCUCAGCUGGCCAAGCUGAUCCAACCUGGAGUUAACCUCGCUUUAAGCAGGGGGUUGGGACUAGACCAUCCUCAGGGGUCAUGUUCAACCCAAAUUUUUCUAUGUUUUUACAAUAAUAGCUAAUUAUCUCUACUUCUAAACAUAUAAACAGGUUAACGUAAUUUUAUACUGUUUUAGUGACAUUCUCUUUCUUCUUGAUAUUUAAAAAAACAAAACUCAUGCAGAUGUAAACAUGAAUUGUUUUGUUUCACGAGGCAUGAUUGUCAUUACUCUAUUUUGUUGUGGUGUCAUGCCAAAAAUCAAGUGUUCUGCUCUGUUCCGUAUACUGAAGCAUAAAAGCAGGGGUCAAUAAAGUGCAAUCCUUCCACACACCCCUUGGGCAGUGUAGGCCUAGUAAUGUUGCGUUCAGAAGUAGACAACAGCAGAAGAUCCAUCUUACACUGGAGGUUUUCAAAGAGCAGCAAUACAGGAUGCUGGUGUCUAACUUACGGAGAUGUUAAAAUCCAACAUUUUAGCUGAAGAGCAACAAAAUCAGUGACAACUGUAUAAAUAACCCAAGGAGCGUAAACAAAUCCAAUUUAAACAUAAGACAAUGGCAGAGCUAAGUUACCCACAUUAGGAAACACUGAGCUAGCAGAAUAACCUUAACAAAAAGGCCAUAAAUAAUAAAUAUACAGUGUAUUACUAUCAUGAGACAGAUGCAGUUCCCAUAUCAUUUGUCUUUACUAUUAUGUAUAAAUUAUAUGUAUAUCAUAUAAUAUUAUACUAUUAUAUGUAUAUCAUAUAAAACGCAAAGCUGAAUGUGCUUGUUUGUGCCUACUCUAAUUCUGUUUUACUUUCCAUUGUAAUUCAAUUUCUAUACUUGACAUUAAGAAAUAAAGGAAAGUAUAAACAAUAUAAAAGAAAAAAACCCAAAUCACAUGCUACCUACUGAAAAAUUGUUUGGUUUAUAAUGUGUUAACUUUUCAGGAGACAGUAUACAGUAAUUUGACCUUUUUGUGUACCAUUUAACAUACAUAAUGCAUGA
Long non-coding RNA from Falco peregrinus (peregrine falcon), 3068 nucleotides. RefSeq lists it as uncharacterized. NCBI's taxonomy places the organism in Eukaryota, Metazoa, Chordata, Aves, Falconiformes, Falconidae. The transcript is spliced from 3 exons. The record is from RefSeq and is a predicted model, not a curated record.